This 256-nucleotide ribosomal RNA is filed under the name uncultured archaeon. RNAcentral's name for it is "partial 16S ribosomal RNA". It matches the Rfam family "Archaeal small subunit ribosomal RNA", at positions 748 to 1004 of the family's 1478-position model. The record is from RNAcentral.
AGGGUGUAAACGCUGCGGGCUUGGUGUUGGGGGUCCUUUGAGGGCGCCCAGUGCCGGAGAGAAGUUGUUAAGCCUGCUGCUUGGGGAGUACGUCCGCAAGGAUGAAACUUAAAGGAAUUGGCGGGGGAGCACCGCAACGGGAGGAGCGUGCGGUUCAAUUGGAUUCAACGCCGGACAACUCACCAGGAGCGACGGUUACAUGAAGGCCAGGCUGAUGACCUUGCCUGAUUUUCCGAGAGGUGGUGCAUGGCGUAGU